This 251-nucleotide ribosomal RNA is filed under the name uncultured prokaryote. RNAcentral describes it as "partial 16S rRNA". It matches the Rfam family "Bacterial small subunit ribosomal RNA", at positions 525 to 775 of the family's 1533-position model. The record is from RNAcentral.
ACGUAGGGGGCGAGCGUUGUCCGGAAUUACUGGGCGUAAAGAGCGUGUAGGCGGGUAGCCAAGUCAAAUGUGAAAGACCGCAGCUCAACUGCGGGAUUGCAUUUGAAACUGACUAUCUUGAGGGCAGGAGAGGACAGUGGAAUUCCUGGUGUAGCGGUGAAAUGCGUAGCAAUCAGGAGGAAUACCAGUGGCGAAGGCGACAGUCUGGACUGACCCUGACGCUGAGGCGCUAAAGCGUGGGGAGCAUACAG